CCUACGGGAGGCAGCAGUGGGGGAUAUUGCACAAUGGGGGAAACCCUGAUGCAGCAACGCCGCGUGAGGUAUGAAGGCCUUUGGGUUGUAAGCCUCUGUCCUAGGGGAAGAAAAAAAUGACGGUACCCGAGGAGGAAGCCCCGGCUAACUACGUGCCAGCAGCCGCGGUAAUACGUAGGGGGCAAGCGUUAUCCGGAAUUAUUGGGCGUAAAGAGUGCGUAGGUGGUCUACUAAGCGCGAGGUGAAAGGCAAUGGCUCAACCAUUGUUAGCCUUGCGAACUGGCAGACUUGAGUGCAAGAGAGGAAAGCGGAAUUCCUAGUGUAGCGGUGAAAUGCGCAGAUAUUAGGAGGAACACCGGCGGCGAAGGCGGCUUUCUGGAUUGUAACUGACACUGAGGCACGAAAGCGUGGGUAGCAAACAGGAUUAGAUACCCCAGUAGUC
Molecule: ribosomal RNA, 442 nt
Filed under: uncultured Eubacteriaceae bacterium
Lineage: Bacteria; Bacillati; Bacillota; Clostridia; Eubacteriales; Eubacteriaceae
Description: bacterial SSU rRNA
Rfam family: Bacterial small subunit ribosomal RNA
Source: RNAcentral